Molecule: ribosomal RNA, 461 nt
Filed under: uncultured bacterium
Lineage: Bacteria
Description: partial 16S ribosomal RNA
Rfam family: Bacterial small subunit ribosomal RNA
Source: RNAcentral
CCUACGGGAGGCAGCAGUGAGGAAUAUUGGUCAAUGGGCGAGAGCCUGAACCAGCCAAGUCGCGUGAAGGAUGACGGCCCUACGGGUUGUAAACUUCUUUUGUCAGGGAGCAAUUGGGUCCACGCGUGGGCUUAGCGAGAGUACCUGAAGAAAAAGCAUCGGCUAACUCCGUGCCAGCAGCCGCGGUAAUACGGAGGAUGCGAGCGUUAUCCGGAUUUUUUGGGUGUAAAGGGUGCGUAGAUGGGUGUGUAAGUCAGUUGUGAAAGUCUGCGGCUCAACCGUAAAAUUGCAAUUGAUACUGGCAGUCUAGAGUACAGGUGAGGUAAGUGGAAUUCGUGGUGUAGCGGUGAAAUGCUUAGAUAUCACGAAGAACCCCGGUGGCGAAGGCAGCUUACUAAACUGUGACUGACAUUGAGGCUCGAAAGUGUGGGUAUCAAACAGGAGUAGAUACCCCAGUAGUC